Molecule: ribosomal RNA, 817 nt
Filed under: uncultured Planctomycetota bacterium
Lineage: Bacteria; Pseudomonadati; Planctomycetota
Description: bacterial SSU rRNA
Rfam family: Bacterial small subunit ribosomal RNA
Source: RNAcentral
AGAGUUUGAUUAUGGCUCAGAACGAACGCUGGCGGCGUGGCUAAGACAUGCAAGUCGAACAGUUCAUUAAUUUAUUAGUGAAUAGUGGCGUAAGGGUUAGUAAUAGAUAGUUAACGUACCUCGAACUCCGGGAUAGCGUCUGAAAACUUCGGUUUUCUUCCGAAAGGGGCAGUAAUACCGGAUAAUAUCAUUUGCUUAAUGUGAAUGAUCAAAGAUUUAUCGGUUUGAGAGCGGACUAUCUCCUAUCAGCUAGUUGGUGAGGUAACGGCUCACCAAGGCAACGACGGGUAGCGGGACUGAGAGGUUGACCCGCAACAUCGGGACUGAGACACUGCCCGGACCUCCACGGAGGGCUGCAGUAACGAAUAUUGCGCAAUGGGCGAAAGCCUGACGCAGCGACGCCGCGUGUAGGAGGAAGUCCUUCGGGAUGUAAACUACUGUCAGGGGUAAGAAAGUGGGCUUCGGCUCAUUGAUCGAACCCAAAGGAAGUCACGGCUAACUUCGUGCCAGCAGCCGCGGUAAGACGAAGGUGGCUAGCGUUGUUCGGUGUUACUGGGCUUAAAGCGUAUGUAGGCGGAAUGGUAAGUGUCUUGUGAAAUCCCUCAGCUUAACUGAGGAAUCGCUCGGCAAACUGUCAUUCUUGAGGCAAGUAGGGGUACAUGGAACUCUUGGUGGAGCGGUGGAAUGCGUAGAUAUCAAGAGGAACGCCGAUGGUGAAAACAGUGUACUGGGCUUGUCCUGACGCUGAGAUACGAAAGCGUGGGUAGCGAACGGGAUUAGAUACCCCGGUAGUCCACGCCGUAAACGAUGUCUACUA